AGACGAAGAAGCAAAGCGGAGCCCGCGGAGUCCGAGUACGAAGAGACGGAAGAUGUUUUUCUUAUGUUUUAAUGAAAAACAAAAAGUACGCAAGCGGCUACACGUUUGGAUUUUGAUGUUGAGUCCAUUCAUGACAGCGCCAGCACAAGCAGGCUGUGAGUCGGCGGUGCUCAAGACUCCAAAUGCUACUGAAUAUAAAACACAUUCCUUUGAAUCAUACAGAAAAUGAAAACAAUUCGAGAUUUUCUGUCAAAGCAAAGGAGCGUACAGCCUGAAGUACAGAGUCACUAUGAAUACUAGAUACUCUUCCAAGUUGAAAACUGCUUCAAAGAAGAAGCUUGAUAAAAGUCCCAACACAAGUGAAGCUCCUAUCCUACGCCGGAUUCUGCCCAAGAGGAGGAGAGGGACGGAAUUUGAUGAUAGCAACAUUAAUAAGGAAGACAAUAGCAUCCAUAACACAGUUAAUAUCAACAGUCAUGUUGAGGAGGAGCCUUAAACUGGUCAUAUUGCACAGGUAGUUGACAGAGGCUUGGAUUAUUUAGAAGGGUGUUGCUGGUCAACUGCUCCUUCCCGUCCAAAAGUCGCAGCCCCCAACAAAAAACUAAGACCACUAGCUGGCCUGUGCCCAUCUUGUCGGAAGUUCUAUCAGAGGCCCAAGAGAUUGAAGACUCCCAUCAAAAAUAAACUCUUGGAUAAUGGUAAGUGUACCUGGGUUUGUUUAUUGUGGGGGGACACGUUCAAGACCCACUCGCAAUAGACUGUUUUCGGCCAUGUGACUACAUCCGGGGCACCUGUUGGAUGGGUUCACUAUACUGACGCGCUGUUCACUCUAAUGCUUUUGCAUAUAGACCGGAGUUACACAAAAGUUCGUACGACUGUUAAAAUGAUGGCUAAAAAGACUUUGGAAAGUUAUCGGUGCUCAUUAGAUGUGAUUUCAAGAAACCGUUACGACAAGAAGUGUGCUUUGAUCUACAAUAUCGACCCAUAUGCCGUGGAGAGACACAAAUGGAGCACACAACUCAGGGCAUCGGUAACCUAUCCAGACAUCGUCCACUAUCUCCUCUUCUCGACAAGCGCUUAUACCGUGGACCAACUAAAGAAUUACAAAGGUCUGGAGGACUACAACCAAUUCAUCAAUGGCUGGGUUCAUCAUGCGGGAGUAUCCAUUGUAAGCAACCUGUUUCCCCACACUGCUAAGGUUAGUUUACCACACAAUGCAAUUUAAAUAUGUAUUGCGUGAUUACAGUCAGCGUUGUGUUAAAUUAUGUCGAUUAUACCAACGAAAGUGGUGUAGAUUAUUAUUUUCAUUUUUGUUACCGAGAGAGAGAGAGAGAGGAAACUCCGUAUUUCUCAGCGACAACCCAGAAACCUGCCUGAUCUCGAGAAGUUCUGUGUGGAGGAGUGGGCAAAAAUCCCUCCUGCAGUGUGUGCAAACCUGGUGAAAAACUGCAGUAAACAUUUGAUCUCUGUAAUUGCAAACAAACGCUACUGUACCAAUAUUAACAUUCGUUUUCUCAGGUGUUCAAAUACCUUUUUGCAGUUUUAUCACACAAAUAAAUUGUUAAAAAAUCAUACAUUGUGAUUUCUGGAUUUUUCUUUUUAGAUUCUCUCUCUCUCUCACAGUGGACAUGCACCUACGAUGAAAUUUCAGAUCCCUCCAUGAUUUCUAAGUGGGGGAACUUACGAUAUAGCAGGGUGUUCAAAUCUUUAUUUUCUUCACUGUAACCCUAUCUCCUGCAUCUUCCUUUCUAACACCAACUGCCCUCAUGUCUUCCCUCACAACAUACAUCACCCUUCUCUUUGGUAUUGUUCUCGCUCUCUUCCCUGGCAGCUCCUACAUCAGCACCCUCCUUAAAAUACGUCCACUCAACUCUCUGCUCUGGACAUGUCCAAACCAUCGAAGUCUGCUCUCCCGAAGCUUGUCUCCAAAACAACUAACUUUGGCUGCCCCUCUAAUGAGCUCAUUUCUAAUCCUAUCCAACCUGCUCACUCCUAGUGAGAACCUCAACAUCUAUAUUUCUGCCACCUACAGUUCUGCUUCCUGUCUCUUCAGUGCCACCGUCUCUAAUCUGUACAUCAUGGCUGACCUCACCACUGUUUUAUAAACUUUGCCCUUUAUUCUAGCAAGGGCUCUUAUCACAUAAGACACCAGAUACCUUCCACCAGCUGUUGCAAUCUGUUUGGACCAAUUUCUUAACUUCAUUACCACACUCAUCGUUGCCCUGGAUUGUUGACGCCAAGUAUUUGAAGUCCACCCUCGCUAUCUCUUCUCCUUAGUCUUUCCCCUCCACCCCACUCAUACAUGCACAUAUAUUCUGUUUUAGUUCGGUUCAUCUUCAUUCCUCUCCUUUCCAAUGCCUGCCUCCAUCUUUCUAAUUAUUCCUCUACCUGCUCCCUUCUUUCACUGCAAAUCACAAUGUUAUCUGCGAAUAUCAUGCCCCAAGGAGAUUCCAGUCUAACCUCAUCUGUCAGUUUAUCCAUUACCACAGCAAGGAGGAAGGGGCUCAGAGCUGAUCCCUGAUGCAGUCCCACUUACACCUUAAAUUCUUCUUUCACACCUACGGCGCACCUCGCCACUCUCCUGCUGCCCUCAUACAUGUCCUGUACUAUUUUAACAUAUUUCUCUGCCACACAAGACUUACACAUGCAGUACCACAGUUCCUCUCGUAGUACUCUGUGAUGGGCUUUCUCUUGACCCACUGACACAAUGUAGCUCCCUCUGACCUUCUCUGGACUUCUCCACGAGCAUCCUCAAAGCAAAUCAUGCAUCUGUGGUACUCUUUCUAAGCAUGAAACCAUACUGUUGCUCGCAGAUGCUAACUUCUGUCCUGAGUCUAGCCUCCACUACUCUUUCCCAUAACUUCAUUGUGUGGCUCAUCAACUUUAUUCCUCUAUAGUUCCCACAGCUUUGCAAAUCGCUGUUGUUCUGAAAAAUGGGAGCACACUUUUCCUCAAUUCUGCAGGCAUCUUCGCACCCGCGAGUAUUCUGUUGAAGAAGUUGGCUGAAAACUCCACAGCCACCUCUCCAAAUUGCUUUUAUACCUCCAAGGGUAUGUCAUCAGGACAUGUCUUUCCACUUUUCAUCCUCUUUAGUGCCUUUGUAACUUCUCCCUUAGUAAUCCUUGCCACAUCCUGGUAUAUCACACUUGCCUCUUCUACUCUUCCUUCUUUCUCAUUUUCUUCAUUCAUCAACUUCUCAAAGUAUUAUUUCCAUGUAUUUAGCACACUACUGGCACCAGUCAACACAUUUUCUUCUCUAUCCUUAAUCACCCUUCCUUGCUGCACAUCCCUCCCAUCUGGCCAACCUAUAGACAUCAUUUUCUUCUUUUUCCAUGUCCAACCUGGCUUAAAUGUCAUCAUAUGCUUCUUGUUUAGACUUCACCAUCUCAGCCUUUGCAUACGUCGCAUCUCAAUGUAUUCCUUUCGCGUCUCCGAAGUCCUCUCAGUGUCCCACUUUUUCUUCGCAAACCUCUUCCCUUGUAUGACUUCCUGUAUCUUGGGGUACCACCACCACGUCCACUUUCCUAUACAAGACCCUGUCAUGCAUUUGCCCUUCCCUGUUUUACUCAUAAUUCUGCUACUGUUGCGUUCUUGGACCGUUUUCCUGUGUACCAACAUUGAACCAAAUAAAUCUGCUCAAACUGUACCUGGUCUCCAGAGUCAAGCAUUUUUGGUCCAACCCCGUGUUCUGCUCUUGGUAGAAUGUGAGUGCGAAUGGUUGUUUGUUUGU
This is a long non-coding RNA of Syngnathoides biaculeatus (alligator pipefish), 3730 nucleotides long. RefSeq lists it as uncharacterized. The transcript is spliced from 3 exons. The record is from RefSeq and is a predicted model, not a curated record. Lineage: Eukaryota; Metazoa; Chordata; Actinopteri; Syngnathiformes; Syngnathidae.